This 72-nucleotide transfer RNA is filed under the name Diaphorina citri (Asian citrus psyllid). It matches the Rfam family "tRNA". From Rfam's summary of the family: Transfer RNA (tRNA) molecules are approximately 80 nucleotides in length. Lineage: Eukaryota; Metazoa; Arthropoda; Insecta; Hemiptera; Psyllidae. The record is from Rfam by way of RNAcentral.
GCUCCCAUGGCGUAGUGGUCACUGCGCUCGCCUUGCACGCGGGAGACCCGGGUUCGAUUCUCGGCGGUGUCA